Non-coding RNA from Pelobates cultripes (western spadefoot toad), 159 nucleotides. Lineage: Eukaryota; Metazoa; Chordata; Amphibia; Anura; Pelobatidae. The record is from the annotation of a GenBank genome assembly.
GCUGACACAUCCCGGCCCAUCUCCAGCAGACCCUCCCUCCCAGACCCUCCUACUUCCUGGACAGCAUCCAUGUUGAAGCUGCCUUCAACAUGGAUGCUGUCCAGGAAGUAGGAGGGUCUGGGAGGGAGGGUCUGCUGGAGAUUGGCCGGGAUGUGUCAG